GAUGAAGAACGCAGCGAAAUGCGAUAAGUAAUGUGAAUUGCAGAAUUCAGUGAAUCAUCGAAUCUUUGAACGCACAUUGCGCCCGCCAGUAUUCUGGCGGGCAUGCCUGUUCGAGCGUCAUUACAACCCUCAGGCCCCCGGGCCUGGCGUUGGGGAUCGGCGGAGCCCCCCGUGGGCACACGCCGUCCCCCAAAUACAGUGGCGGUCCCGCCGCAGCUUCCAUCGCGUAGUAGCUAACACCUCGCGACUGGAGAGCGGCGCGGCCACGCCGUAAAACACCCAACUCUUCUGAAGUUGACCUCGAAUCAGGUAGGAAUACCCGCUGAACUUAAGCAUAUCAAUAAGCGGAUGA
RNAcentral lists this unclassified non-coding RNA (352 nucleotides) under soil metagenome. RNAcentral's name for it is "partial contains 5.8S ribosomal RNA, internal transcribed spacer 2, and large subunit ribosomal RNA". The stretch from base 1 to 120 matches the Rfam family "5.8S ribosomal RNA", at positions 35 to 154 of the family's 154-position model. The record is from RNAcentral.